AACGAACGCUGGCGGCAGGCCUAACACAUGCAAGUCGAGCGGACCUUUCGGGGUCAGCGUCGGACGGGUGAGUAACGCGUGGGAAUAUGCCCUUCUCUACGGAAUAGUCCUGGGAAACUGGGGGUAAUACCGUAUACGCCCUUUGGGGGAAAGAUUUAUCGGGGAAGGAUUAGCCCGCGUUGGAUUAGGUAGUUGGUGGGGUAAUGGCCUACCAAGCCGACGAUCCAUAGCUGGUUUGAGAGGAUGAUCAGCCACACUGGGACUGAGACACGGCCCAGACUCCUACGGGAGGCAGCAGUGGGGAAUCUUAGACAAUGGGGGCAACCCUGAUCUAGCCAUGCCGCGUGAGUGAUGAAGGCCUUAGGGUUGUAAAGCUCUUUCAGCUGGGAAGAUAAUGACGGUACCAGCAGAAGAAGCCCCGGCUAACUCCGUG
This 433-nucleotide ribosomal RNA is filed under the name uncultured bacterium. Its description in RNAcentral is "partial 16S ribosomal RNA". It matches the Rfam family "Bacterial small subunit ribosomal RNA", at positions 29 to 507 of the family's 1533-position model. The record is from RNAcentral.